This 253-nucleotide ribosomal RNA is filed under the name uncultured bacterium. RNAcentral describes it as "partial 16S ribosomal RNA". It matches the Rfam family "Bacterial small subunit ribosomal RNA", at positions 524 to 776 of the family's 1533-position model. The record is from RNAcentral.
UACGGAGGGGGCUAGCGUUGUUCGGAAUUACUGGGCGUAAAGCGCACGUAGGCGGCUUUGUAAGUUAGAGGUGAAAGCCCGGAGCCCAACUCCGGAAAUGCCAUUGAAACUGUAAGACUUGAGGAUGAGAGAGGUGAGUGGAAUUCCCAGUGUAGAGGUGAAAUUCGUAGAUAUUGGGAAGAACACCGGUGGCGAAGGCGGCUCACUGGCUCAUAUCUGACGCUCAGGCGCGACAGCGUGGGGAUCAAACAGG